CGACACAACUUGGAAGAGAAAUCAACUCGAAAUAGCCAAGAGAAUGUUCGAAAACCCCCUCAAAUCCGAUGCUUCCUUUGAUUCCAACCUCCAAAAGCCCAUCUGCUCAAAUCUUCAUUUCGAGGACGAGGACUCGAGGAGUAUUACAAGGUACCUCUAUAGAAUCAAUGGCUUCCAUGGAUUUUGAAACUCUUUACUUCUAAUAAACACCAUUGUAAUGUCUUGUUGUGAAAUUGUGUAAGGAACAAAGGAUAGUGAAAGCUGAAGAGUGGGCAGAGUUUAUGGAGUUUCAGAGUUUUUUUGACUAAGUGGCCUCUGUUUUUGAUUCUUCAGUGGUCAAUUUUGUGAUGGGAUUUGAUUGAAAUUGGAGAAUGGUUUCAUGAAAUCUCCUCUUCGGGCUGAGGUUGAUUCAUGACUCUUUCAUUUUUCUAGUGUCUCAUUGAUGAUAGACAUAAGAAGCACCAUUGCUGAAUCAUAUUGUUUGGCACAGUUCUAGUUGACCAUCCACAAGUGGAAUAGUUGGGAUGAUAAAGAAGCUUGGAAACUAAAGAUUCUCACUUUCACUAGUGAAUAAUACAUUCAUUUUUAAAAACGUUUUUUGUUCUGUUGUUUUAUUUCUUUCUAUAAUAUUUUA
This is an RNA transcript of Arabidopsis thaliana (thale cress), 634 nucleotides long. RefSeq lists it as uncharacterized. The transcript has a single exon. The record is from RefSeq. Lineage: Eukaryota; Viridiplantae; Streptophyta; Magnoliopsida; Brassicales; Brassicaceae.